AACGAACGCUGGCGGCGUGGAUUAGGCAUGCAAGUCGAACGAGAAAGGGUUCGCAAGGACCCGAGUAAAGUGGCGAAAGGGUGAGUAGUACCUAGGUAACCUGCCCUGAAGACGGGGAUAACGUCUCUAACGGGACGCUAAUACCCGAUAUGUCGGCGGCCUCGCAUGGGGUUGCCGGUAAAGAUAGCCUCUGUACACAAGCUUUCACUUCAGGAGGGGCCUCGGGCCUAUCAGCUAGUUGGCGGGGAACGGCCCACCAAGGCUGGGACGGGUAGCCGGUCUGAGAGGAUGGUCGGCCACACUGGGACUGAGACACUGCCCAGACUCCUACGGGAGGCUGCAGUCGAGGAUCUUCUGCAAUGGGCGCAAGCCUGACAGAGCGACGCCGCGUGGGGAUGAAGGUCUUCGGAUUGUAAACCCC
This 421-nucleotide ribosomal RNA is filed under the name uncultured bacterium. RNAcentral's name for it is "bacterial SSU rRNA". It matches the Rfam family "Bacterial small subunit ribosomal RNA", at positions 29 to 433 of the family's 1533-position model. The record is from RNAcentral.